Molecule: ribosomal RNA, 253 nt
Filed under: uncultured bacterium
Lineage: Bacteria
Description: partial 16S ribosomal RNA
Rfam family: Bacterial small subunit ribosomal RNA
Source: RNAcentral
UACGGAGGGGACUAGCGUUGUUCGGAAUUACUGGGCGUAAAGCGCACGUAGGCGGAUUUGUAAGUCAGGGGUGAAAUCCCGGGGCUCAACCUCGGAACUGCCUUUGAUACUGCAAAUCUCGAGUCCGGAAGAGGUGAGUGGAAUUCCGAGUGUAGAGGUGAAAUUCGUAGAUAUUCGGAGGAACACCAGUGGCGAAGGCGGCUCACUGGCUCGGUACUGACGCUGAGGUGCGAAAGCGUGGGGAGCAAACAGG